This 346-nucleotide ribosomal RNA is filed under the name uncultured soil bacterium. RNAcentral's name for it is "bacterial SSU rRNA". It matches the Rfam family "Bacterial small subunit ribosomal RNA", at positions 26 to 383 of the family's 1533-position model. The record is from RNAcentral.
AGGAUAAACGCUGGCGGCGUGCCUAAAACAUGCAAGUCGAACGGACCCUUCGGGUUAGUGGCGAACGGCUGAGUAACACGUGGGUGACCUGCCUUCGAACGGGGGAUAACUGCCCGAAAGGGUGCUAAUACCGCAGAUGUCGUUUCUUCGGUGAGAUGACUGAACCGAUUUAGGGUUCGGAGAGGGGCCUGCGUCCGAUUAGCUAGCUGGUGGGUAACGGCCUACCAGGGCGACGAUCGGUAGCUGGUCUGAGAGGAUGAUCAGCCAGACGUGGACUGCGAGGACGGCCCAGACCGUCCGUACGGGAGCAGCAGGUUAGGAAUUUUGGGACAAGUGGACGAAAGCC